ACGGCUCAGUAACACGUAGUCAACAUGCCCAAAGGACGUGGAUAACCUCGGGAAACUGAGGAUAAACCGCGAUAGGUCAUAAGUACUGGAAUGUUUUAUGGCUCAAAUCUACAUGGCCUCUGGAUUGGACUGCGGCCGAUCAGGCUGUUGGUGAGGUAAUGGCCCACCAAACCUUUUACCGGUACGGGCUCUGAGAGGAGGAGCCCGGAGAUGGGCACUGAGACAAGGGCCCAGGCCCUAUGGGGCGCAGCAGGCGCGAAACCUCUGCAAUAGGCGAAAGCUUGACAGGGUUACUCUGAGUGAUUCCCGCUAAGGGAAUCUUUUGGCAUCUCUAAAAACGAUGCAGAAUAAGGGGUGGGCAAGUCUGGUGUCAGCCGCCGCGGUAAUACCAGCACCCCGAGUGGUCGGGACGAUUAUUGGGCCUAAAGCAUCCGUAGCCGGUCUUGCAAGUCUUCCGUUAAAUCCACCUGCUUAACAGAUGGGCUGCGGGAGAUACUACAAGACUAGGAGGCGGGAGAGGCAAGCGGUACUCAGUGGGUAGGGGUAAAAUCCUCUGAUCCAUUGAAGACCACCAGUGGCGAAGGCGGCUUGCCAGAACGCGCUCGACGGUGAGGGAUGAAAGCUGGGGGAGCAAACCGGAUUAGAUACCCGGGUAGUCCCAGCUGUAAACGAUGCAGACUCGGUGAUGGGCCGGCUUCAUGCCGGCUCAGUGCCGCAGGGAAGCCGUUAAGUCUGCCGCCUGGGGAGUACGGUCGCAAGACUGAAACUUAAAGGAAUUGGCGGGGGAGCAC
Molecule: ribosomal RNA, 791 nt
Filed under: uncultured archaeon
Lineage: Archaea
Description: bacterial SSU rRNA
Rfam family: Archaeal small subunit ribosomal RNA
Source: RNAcentral